Molecule: ribosomal RNA, 433 nt
Filed under: uncultured bacterium
Lineage: Bacteria
Description: partial 16S ribosomal RNA
Rfam family: Bacterial small subunit ribosomal RNA
Source: RNAcentral
AACGAACGCUGGCGGCAUGCCUAACACAUGCAAGUCGAACGAGACCUUCGGGUCUAGUGGCGCACGGGUGCGUAACGCGUGGGAACCUGCCCUUAGGUUCGGAAUAACUCCCCGAAAGGGGUGCUAAUACCGGAUAAUGUCUUCGGACCAAAGAUUUAUCGCCUUUGGAUGGGCCCGCGUUGGAUUAGCUAGUUGGUAGGGUAAAAGCCUACCAAGGCGACGAUCCAUAGCUGGUCUGAGAGGAUGAUCAGCCACACUGGGACUGAGACACGGCCCAGACUCCUACGGGAGGCAGCAGUGGGGAAUAUUGGACAAUGGGCGAAAGCCUGAUCCAGCAAUGCCGCGUGAGUGAUGAAGGCCUUAGGGUUGUAAAGCUCUUUUACCCGGGAUGAUAAUGACAGUACCGGGAGAAUAACCGCCGGCUAACUCCGUG